UACAGAGGUCUCAAGCGUUGUUCGGAUUCAUUGGGCGUAAAGGGUGCGUAGGCGGCGCGGUAAGUCGGGUGUGAAAUCUCGGGGCUUAACUCCGAAACUGCAUUCGAUACUGCCGUGCUUGAGGACUGGAGAGGAGACUGGAAUUUACGGUGUAGCGGUGAAAUGCGUAGAUAUCGUAAGGAAGACCAGUGGCGAAGGCGGGUCUCUGGACAGUUCCUGACGCUGAGGCACGAAGGUCAGGGGAUCAAACGGG
Molecule: ribosomal RNA, 253 nt
Filed under: uncultured bacterium
Lineage: Bacteria
Description: partial 16S ribosomal RNA
Rfam family: Bacterial small subunit ribosomal RNA
Source: RNAcentral